AUAUAUAUAUAGAGUCCGGCUACUAUGCUAUCGGUAGCACGGAGCGCUCCGUGCUACCAAGUUGUUUUCGAUGAUGCGGCUUCCAAAUCGACGAUCGGCUCCGUUAGACUUGAUCUACACUAUUGAAAGUAUUUGGAAACUAAAUUUCAAAUUUUUUCGACAUCAUUUGACUAGUAAUCAAAAGAUCUCAAAAUUGACAAUUUUAAUGGCCGAUGUGGUGUGUUUGUGAGUUUAACGGUGUAAAACAAUUCAAAUGCGAUGAAAAUUUUAUAGAAAAUUCUUUUCACUAUUUAGAAUAAA
RNAcentral lists this long non-coding RNA (300 nucleotides) under Ananas comosus (pineapple). RNAcentral's name for it is "long non-coding RNA (ACOM_LNC010684)". The record is from RNAcentral. Lineage: Eukaryota; Viridiplantae; Streptophyta; Magnoliopsida; Poales; Bromeliaceae.